RNAcentral lists this ribosomal RNA (909 nucleotides) under Haplographium delicatum. Its description in RNAcentral is "LSU rRNA". It matches the Rfam family "Eukaryotic large subunit ribosomal RNA", at positions 38 to 966 of the family's 3401-position model. The record is from RNAcentral. Lineage: Eukaryota; Fungi; Ascomycota; Leotiomycetes; Helotiales; Hyaloscyphaceae.
GCAUAUCAAUAAAGCGGAGGAAAAGAAACCAACAGGGAUUGCCUCAGUAACGGCGAGUGAAGCGGCAACAGCUCAAAUUUGAAAUCUGGCUCUCGGGUCCGAAUUGUAAUUUGUAGAAGAUGCUUCGAGUGUUAGCCUGGUCUAAGUUCCUUGGAACAGGACGUCAUAGAGGGUGAGAAUCCCGUAUGUGACUAGUGCUCUCGCUCAUGUGAAGCUCUUUCGACGAGUCGAGUUGUUUGGGAAUGCAGCUCAAAAUGGGUGGUAAAUUUCAUCUAAAGCUAAAUAUUGGCCAGAGACCGAUAGCGCACAAGUAGAGUGAUCGAAAGAUGAAAAGCACUUUGGAAAGAGAGUUAAACAGUACGUGAAAUUGUUGAAAGGGAAGCGCUUGCAACUAGACUUGCAUGCCGUCGAUCAUCCGAGGUUUUCCCCGGUGCACUCGGCGGUGUUCAGGCCAGCAUCGGUUUGGGUGGUUGGAUAAAGGCCUUGGGAAUGUAGCUUCUUUCGGGGAGUGUUAUAGCCCUCGGUGCAAUGCAGCCUACCCGGACCGAGGACCGCGCUUCGGCUAGGAUGCUGGCGUAAUGGUUGUAAGCGACCCGUCUUGAAACACGGACCAAGGAGUCUAACAUCUAUGCGAGUGUUUGGGUGUCAAACCCAUACGCGUAAUAAAAGUGAACGGAGGUGAGAACCCUUAAGGGUGCAUCAUCGACCGAUCCUGAUGUCUUCGGAUGGAUUUGAGUAAGAGCAUAGCUGUUGGGACCCGAAAGAUGGUGAACUAUGCCUGAAUAGGGUGAAGCCAGAGGAAACUCUGGUGGAGGCUCGCAGCGGUUCUGACGUGCAAAUCGAUCGUCAAAUUUGGGUAUAGGGGCGAAAGACUAAUCGAACCAUCUAGUAGCUGGGUUCCUGCCGAAG